GAUAGCUCAGUUGGUAGAGCGGAGGACUG
This 29-nucleotide non-coding RNA is filed under the name Bos taurus (domestic cattle). The record is from RNAcentral. Lineage: Eukaryota; Metazoa; Chordata; Mammalia; Artiodactyla; Bovidae. RNAcentral also lists the same sequence under 1 other name.